UUUAAGCAUAUCACUCAGUGGAGGAAGCGCAAGCAACUGCGAUUGCUUCAGUAACGGCGAGUGAAUGGGCAACAGAUGUCUCAGCCCGAAGCGAGUUCCCACGCGUUCUGAACGCGCGGCUCUGAGGGGCUCCUGCGAAAGCAGUUGAUGUGGGCUAUGGAGCAGGUGGCUGUGUCUUGGCUGGUCAUGCAUCAGGAAGAAGCCUGGAAAGGCUCACGCGAGAGGGAUACUGUCUCAUAUGCAAAGUGCAUGCUGACCAGUCGGAUGUGGCUGCUUGUAUCCAGGAGUAGAGUGGCUUGGGACUGCAGUUUGAAGCGCGAGGUGUAUCCCUCGCAAGGAAGAACACCGACAUGGGACCGAUAGCGCACAAGUAGAGUGAUUGAAGGAUGCAAAGUACUCUGCGAAGAGAGUUAAAGAGUGCCUGAAGCCUCAGCAGGAACGGCGGAGAGUGAUGCUGUGGAAUGAAGGAUCCAUGGUCAACUGACUGACGGUCAGGACUGUUAUGGCGAAGACCACAGGCAGUGGGCCUGGACCUGGAGAGCACCAAGCAACCUUGGGCCAGCCCAGAGCUGGCGUCUGAGCUCCGUCCCCAAGGAUGGGAUGCAAUCGAUGUAGCUUGUGGUGGCAAUCAGCUUGCCAGGGCCUGAGGUUCACAGAGAUCUCAGAGCAGAGAGGCCGCAUGGAAUGGGCACAGCUUGUGAAAGCCCAAUUGGGCGUGCCCAGCGAGCCUGAAGUGAAGGAAUGGUGCUUGACACCUGGUGCGUCUCCGGACGUGCCAGUGGCUGUGCAGAAGACUUGGGUGAGCUAGGCAGAUCAUGGUGGCUGCAUCACCUUGGUGGUGGCCCUGUGUGACGUCAGCUCCCCAGAGGAUGCAUGGACAGAAAGCAGCUGAGCUUGGUACAGCAGUGCCACUCUCUGCCCGUCUUGAAACACGGACCAAGGAGUCUAUGGAGCUUGCAGAUUUGCAGAUGCAAAACCACAAGGUGUGGUGAAGGCAAGAUCCCAGAUGGUGCAUGGUCACAGAGGCUGGAACAUGUGGAAUGUAUGUGCGACAGCAGCCCCAAUGGGGUAUUGUGAGAUCACUGCAUGGGAACCAGGCCCGAAGUCCAGUGGACUGGGUUCGGAGUGAUUGCAAGGUCCAUGGGACCCGAAAGGUGGUGAACUAUACCGUUCUAUGACGAAGCCGUGGGAAACUGCGGUGGAGGUCAGUCGCUGUUCUGACGUGCAAAUUGUGUAGCCUGAGUGCGGCAUAGGGGUGAAAGGCCAAUCGAGCCACCUAGUAGCUGGUUUCCCUCGAAGUUUCCCUCAGGAUAGCUGGGCUCAGAUGCAGUCACUGAGUGAUUACGUCCGGUAAAGCAACGCAUGAGAGGCAACUCCGGGAAGGCUUCCCUUCUCGACCUAUUCUCGAACUGUGAAUGGGCGUGGCGCCCAAAGGCAUGCUUCUUCACUGUGCUGGAGUCUGUGUCAAAGCAGUUCUCCUCAGCUGCUGAGCGUGUUUGUGAUCAGCAAUCCUCGAGGGAGAGCCCUUAAGCAAGGCCUCCCGAGAGGCGCAGCAAAACUGGGCGAAAGGUUGCUGCAAAGUUGAACAGCAGUGCCUAUGUGGACCAGGAUUGGUAAGCAGUGCUGGUGAUGCGGGGUGCUCCGAGAGUGGGCUUACAGAUCCGGAGUGCUGGCUCAUACCCAGAUCCCACAAAGGAUGUUGCCUGCUAGAGAUAGCAGGACGGUGGCCAUGAAGGUUGGAACCCGCUAAGGAAUGUGUAACAACUCACCUGCCGAAGCGUGCAGCUCCGAAAAUGGAUGGUGCCCAAGUCAGCGAAGCUAAAUUCGUCUCACAGCUCACCGCUGCUGUGGCAGCAAAGCAGAGCAUCAGCGUGUAGAAGGACAUGGGAGAUUGCAGAGCAAGUGGGGUUUGAACCUCACUGGAGUGUCUUCUGGCGCAGAUCUUGGUUGUAGUAGCGAAUACUCCAUCGAGUGAAGAGCGGAACGACGCCGUUGUGUGCGGUUGAGGACAGGAGUGGAGCAGGUUUCCGCACCAAACAGCCGUUGAAUGCGGGUCAGCCGACCGUGAGCCAAGUGGUAAAUUCACUGAACAACCAAAGCUGUCAUGGCCCUUGGGCAAACAGAGGCACUGCACCCAGGUGACCUGCAAAGGCACCAACGUUUGAGGCAAAGGGGCAAGUGGCCUAGGAUCUUGGAGUGUUUGACAGGAGUGGCAAACAGGCAAGCACGUGCAACAUUCUGCUGCGAUGGACUUGGAGUGACUUUUGGAUGGCGACAUCCAUGUACCGGAACAAGCAGGCUUAGGGGCAGUGCACCCCUCGAGGAGUUAUCGUUUCCUCCUGAUGCAGACCCAUGUGGGCUAUCGAUUGGCAUGACAGAUGGUGGUGUAUGCCCUCCGUUCAGCAAGACAGCGUACCCUUCACGCUGGUGGCCUUGUGAAAGAGUGACCUGAGGCGAGCCGAGUACAAAGGAUGCUGCCUGUAACACUCGGUGGUCACUGGCCCCAAUGAAAGGCCUGUGGGGCACGUUUUCCUGGUUCCAGUGCCCUCGUACUGAAUCACCGCAGCCGGUCUCCUCGGCUAGACGCCGCUUGUUGACGGACGAAAUGCAGCUAAGGGAAGUCGGCAAACUGGCCAUGUACCUUUGGAAGAUGUGGUGGCUCCAAAGGCCAGGGCGCAGGGCCCUGCUGCUGGCUGUGUGGGGCGGAGAUGGCCAUCCUGUCGUGGUGGUCAACCCCAUCGCGCAGGAAAGGCUGACCCUGCCAGCACAGUCUCGCGGCGGGGGGUCGUUCAGCCGCAAGGCUGGGCGUGCCCAUCCCUGUGUCAACAAAGUGGCUCAUGUGGAACUGUUGCUGUGCAGGGGAAUCUGACUGUUUAAUUGAAACACAGCUUUGUGAAGGGUCCAGCUGGCUGGUCCCAUGAGGUGACUUCUGCCCAGUGCUCUGAUUGUCAAUGCGAAGAGAUUCAGCCAAGCGCGGGUAAACGGCGGGAGUAACUAUGACUCUCUUAAGGUAGCCAAAUGCCUCGUCAACCAAUUAUUGACGCGCAUGAAUGGAUCAACGAGAUUCCUGCUGUCCCUAGUUGCUGUCUGGUGAACCAACAGCCAAGGGAACGGGCUUGGAUGU
Molecule: ribosomal RNA, 3124 nt
Filed under: Trachelomonas volvocina
Lineage: Eukaryota; Euglenozoa; Euglenophyceae; Euglenales; Euglenaceae
Description: partial large subunit ribosomal RNA
Rfam family: Eukaryotic large subunit ribosomal RNA
Source: RNAcentral